Molecule: ribosomal RNA, 1346 nt
Filed under: uncultured bacterium
Lineage: Bacteria
Description: partial 16S ribosomal RNA
Rfam family: Bacterial small subunit ribosomal RNA
Source: RNAcentral
GACGAACGUUGGCGGCGUGCUUAACACAUGCAAGUCGAACGGAAAGGCCCUGCUUUUGUGGGGUGCUCGAGUGGCGAACGGGUGAGUAACACGUGAGUAACCUGCCCUUGACUUUGGGAUAACUUCAGGAAACUGGGGCUAAUACCGGAUAGGAGCUCCUGCUGCAUGGUGGGGGUUGGAAAGUUUCGGCGGUUGGGGAUGGACUCGCGGCUUAUCAGCUUGUUGGUGGGGUAGUGGCUUACCAAGGCUUUGACGGGUAGCCGGCCUGAGAGGGUGACCGGCCACAUUGGGACUGAGAUACGGCCCAGACUCCUACGGGAGGCAGCAGUGGGGAAUAUUGCACAAUGGGCGGAAGCCUGAUGCAGCAACGCCGCGUGCGGGAUGACGGCCUUCGGGUUGUAAACCGCUUUCGCCUGUGACGAAGCGUGAGUGACGGUAAUGGGUAAAGAAGCACCGGCUAACUACGUGCCAGCAGCCGCGGUGAUACGUAGGGUGCGAGCGUUGUCCGGAUUUAUUGGGCGUAAAGGGCUCGUAGGUGGUUGAUCGCGUCGGAAGUGUAAUCUUGGGGCUUAACCCUGAGCGUGCUUUCGAUACGGGUUGACUUGAGGAAGGUAGGGGAGAAUGGAAUUCCUGGUGGAGCGGUGGAAUGCGCAGAUAUCAGGAGGAACACCAGUGGCGAAGGCGGUUCUCUGGGCCUUUCCUGACGCUGAGGAGCGAAAGCGUGGGGAGCGAACAGGCUUAGAUACCCUGGUAGUCCACGCUGUAAACGGUGGGUACUAGGUGUGGGGUCCAUUCCACGGGUUCCGUGCCGUAGCUAACGCUUUAAGUACCCCGCCUGGGGAGUACGGCCGCAAGGCUAAAACUCAAAGGAAUUGACGGGGCCCCGCACAAGCGGCGGAGCAUGCGGAUUAAUUCGAUGCAACGCGUAGAACCUUACCUGGGUUUGACAUGGAUCGGGAGUGCUCAGAGAUGGGUGUGCCUCUUUUGGGGUCGGUUCACAGGUGGUGCAUGGCUGUCGUCAGCUCGUGUCGUGAGAUGUUGGGUUAAGUCCCGCAACGAGCGCAACCCUUGUUCACUGUUGCCAGCACGUUAUGGUGGGGACUCAGUGGAGACCGCCGGAGUCAACUCGGAGGAAGGUGGGGAUGACGUCAAGUCAUCAUGCCCCUUAUGUCCAGGGCUUCACGCAUGCUACAAUGGCUGGUACAGAGAGUGGCGAGCCUGUGAGGGUGAGCGAAUCUCGGAAAGCCGGUCUCAGUUCGGAUUGGGGUCUGCAACUCGACCUCAUGAAGUCGGAGUCGCUAGUAAUCGCAGAUCAGCAACGCUGCGGUGAAUACGUUCCCGGGGCU